UACGUAGGGUGCAAGCGUUGUCCGGAAUUAUUGGGCGUAAAGAGCUCGUAGGCGGUGGGUCGAGUCGGCCGUGAAAACCUGCAGCUUAACUGUGGGCUUGCGGUCGAUACGGGCAUCACUGGAGUUCGGCAGGGGAGACUGGAAUUCCUGGUGUAGCGGUGAAAUGCGCAGAUAUCAGGAGGAACACCGGUGGCGAAGGCGGGUCUCUGGGCCGAUACUGACGCUGAGGAGCGAAAGCGUGGGGAGCGAACAGG
This 254-nucleotide ribosomal RNA is filed under the name uncultured bacterium. RNAcentral describes it as "partial 16S ribosomal RNA". It matches the Rfam family "Bacterial small subunit ribosomal RNA", at positions 524 to 776 of the family's 1533-position model. The record is from RNAcentral.